CUGCGGCCCAGUUGAUGUGGGUGGGGCAUAAUCCUGUUUGUCACUUGAGUUCCAUAAACCUGCUUAGACCGUUACGGAAUGAAAAUGAGUAUCUCGUGCUCUAUCACUCUCAAACACCACUAAGUAGACAUAGAGGAAAUCGGAUUCCCACACACACCAGUUAUGCCGUCUUAUUAAGGCAUGGGGAGCCCUGAGGAUGACCUGACUCUGAGAGCAGCUUUGUAUGGAAUGCUGUUCCACAUCCAGGCAGACAGCUCAGACUGGAAGGGAGCUCUGAAUCUGCUGAAGCAUGCUAUCCCCACACAAGAAACAGGUUGCUCCUGUUAAAGCACUGGGUGCUGGUGAGGGCCUGGCUAGGGGAGAGCGUUCUGCUAGACAUGCCGAAGUUCAGGGAUGAAGGGGAACUCAGUGCCACAUGUGGGAGCAAUGGAGUUGCACUGUGUGCUGGGGAAAUACUAAAGCAGCUGGCCAGCUACCAGAACUCCAUAAUCUCCCUACUGAAAAGACUGGUGCCCAAGAGAUGCAAACUGAAAGAACCGCAGAGGAGAGAAUUCCCAAGGAGGUUAUUUCCUUGUCCCAUCGUACUCUAGCAACUCCUUGUGGCGGGCCGGGCGCCUGCAAGCUGACUUCGAGCGCAAGUUGGACAGUGAUUUCUCCGAAACAUUGGUGUGGCUGGCUCCCGGGUUAAGUGAGCAGUGUGGCUUGGCAGGGUUGUGUUUUGGAGGAUGCAUGGCUCUCGACCUUCGCCUCUCCCGAGUCUGUAGGGGAGUUGCAGCGAUGGGACAAGACUGUAAUUGGAUAUUGUGAAAUAUUA
This is a long non-coding RNA of Oncorhynchus tshawytscha (Chinook salmon), 814 nucleotides long. Lineage: Eukaryota; Metazoa; Chordata; Actinopteri; Salmoniformes; Salmonidae. The record is from Ensembl.